UGAUGACGAGGCACUACGGUGCUGAAGCGACAAAUGCCCUGCUUCCAGGAAAAGCCUCUAAGCAUCAGGUAACAUCAAAUCGUACCCCAAACCGACACAGGUGGUCAGGUAGAGAAUACCAAGGCGCUUGAGAGAACUCGGGUGAAGGAACUAGGCAAAAUGGUGCCGUAACUUCGGGAGAAGGCACGCUGAUAUGUAGGUGAAGCGACUUGCUCGUGGAGCUGAAAUCAGUCGAAGAUACCAGCUGGCUGCAACUGUUUAUUAAAAACACAGCACUGUGCAAACACGAAAGUGGACGUAUACGGUGUGACGCCUGCCCGGUGCCGGAAGGUUAAUUGAUGGGGUUAGCGGUAACGCGAAGCUCUUGAUCGAAGCCCCGGUAAACGGCGGCCGUAACUAUAACGGUCCUAAGGUAGCGAAAUUCCUUGUCGGGUAAGUUCCGACCUGCACGAAUGGCGUAAUGAUGGCCAGGCUGUCUCCACCCGAGACUCAGUGAAAUUGAACUCGCUGUGAAGAUGCAGUGUACCCGCGGCAAGACGGAAAGACCCCGUGAACCUUUACUAUAGCUUGACACUGAACAUUGAGCCUUGAUGUGUAGGAUAGGUGGGAGGCUUUGAAGUGUGGACGCCAGUCUGCAUGGAGCCGACCUUGAAAUACCACCCUUUAAUGUUUGAUGUUCUAACGUGGGCCCCUUACCGGGGUUGCGGACAGUGUCUGGUGGGUAGUUUGACUGGGGCGGUCUCCUCCUAAAGAGUAACGGAGGAGCACGAAGGUUGGCUAAUCCUGGUCGGACAUCAGGAGGUUAGUGCAAUGGCAUAAGCCAGCUUGACUGCGAGCGUGACGGCGCGAGCAGGUGCGAAAGCAGGUCAUAGUGAUCCGGUGGUUCUGAAUGGAAGGGCCAUCGCUCAACGGAUAAAAGGUACUCCGGGGAUAACAGGCUGAUACCGCCCAAGAGUUCAUAUCGACGGCGGUGUUUGGCACCUCGAUGUCGGCUCAUCACAUCCUGGGGCUGAAGUAGGUCCCAAGGGUAUGGCUGUUCGCCAUUUAAAGUGGUACGCGAGCUGGGUUUAGAACGUCGUGAGACAGUUCGGUCCCUAUCUGCCGUGGGCGCUGGAGAACUGAGGGGGGCUGCUCCUAGUACGAGAGGACCGGAGUGGACGCAUCACUGGUGUUCGGGUUGUCAUGCCAAUGGCACUGCCCGGUAGCUAAAUGCGGAAGAGAUAAGUGCUGAAAGCAUCUAAGCACGAAACUUGCCCCGAGAUGAGUUCUCCCUGACUCCUUGAGAGUCCUGAAGGAACGUUGAAGACGACGACGUUGAUAGGCCGGGUGUGUAAGCGCAGCGAUGCGUUGAGCUAACCGGUACUAAUGAACCGUGAGGCUUAACCUU
Molecule: ribosomal RNA, 1387 nt
Filed under: Escherichia coli BIDMC 58
Lineage: Bacteria; Pseudomonadati; Pseudomonadota; Gammaproteobacteria; Enterobacterales; Enterobacteriaceae
Also listed under: 2 other names
Description: bacterial LSU rRNA
Rfam family: Bacterial large subunit ribosomal RNA
Source: RNAcentral